GGUGGGGCCGCAUUCCCGGGCACGCGGCCCACUCCCCACCCUCCACUGCCGCCUGGUUCCCAGCGGGUGCCCAGGCACAGCUCCCUCAGCCUGUAGGACUCCUAUCAGUGCACAAUGUCCUGUCUGUUUCUGGUGCCUGGUCAGGUCAGGCCUGCCCACACCAGACAUGCCCUUCAGACUCCAGAGGCCCCCACCUCACAGCAAACCCCAGGUCCUGGGCUGGGACUUUGGCCUGAAGAUAGGAACUGGCUGGAGUCAGUGUUCUAUGUGAGGACCUCCCUAUCCAGGACAGGCUGCCUCCUCCCUAAGUCGGUUUUCUCAUGUUUCCCCUAGAAGAUAAUAACAAACAGCACAGCUUUUCCAGGCACCUCUCUAAGCAUCCAUCUUAUAUUCACUCACUUCAUCUGCACAGCAGCUCCAAGAGGGAGUCCCCGUUAUCAUCAUCACCAUCUUCAUCAUCCCAUUUUCCAGGUGAGCACAUAGAGCCAGGCUAAAUAACUUGCUCCGAGGCCACACAUCUGAAAAGGCAGAGUCCGGAUUUGAACCCAGGCCCCCUAACCCUGAAUCCACCACAGAGCCGGCUACAGAGCCGAGGCUCUACAAGGGCCUUGAGUCUCAGCCCUUGGAGUUCCAGCUGGGGCACCAGAGCCCAGAGAGGGAAGGACAACGCACAAAGUCAGCCAGCCAGGAGGCCAGAUCCCAUCCUGUAUGGUGAAAUUCCUUGGAAAAGGCUGCCCCAUCCAUAGGGAUGUAUUUGCUUGGUGCAAAAUUAAUUACGGUUUUUGCCAUUACUUCAAUAGCAAAAACUACAAUUACUUUGUACCAACCUAAUAGUUUGUGCACCUGUUUUCUUGAGCGAGAGAGAGAAAAAGCACGUGCAUCUGAGUCUAAUGAGCCUACCUAGUAGGUUCUGCUGCCAAGUGUCCAUUCCCCCACCCCACCCACAGCCCCUGCCCUCAUAGCCAGGCCCCCUCCCUACAUUGUUCCCAUCUCACCUAAAAGAACAUGCACAUUUUUCUGCGGAAGACACACCUCUUUCCUUGCUGCAAUCUAAGGAGGGUGGGGGGACUGAAAAGAAAAGAAAAGAAAAAAAAAAAAAAAAA
Molecule: long non-coding RNA, 1103 nt
Filed under: Macaca fascicularis (crab-eating macaque)
Lineage: Eukaryota; Metazoa; Chordata; Mammalia; Primates; Cercopithecidae
Description: lncRNA (ENSMFAG00000057890.1)
Source: RNAcentral